This 474-nucleotide long non-coding RNA is filed under the name Oryctolagus cuniculus (rabbit). RNAcentral describes it as "lncRNA (ENSOCUG00000034311.1)". Lineage: Eukaryota; Metazoa; Chordata; Mammalia; Lagomorpha; Leporidae. The record is from RNAcentral.
AUGAAAAAAGAGCGAGCGAGCCAGGGAACGCUCUGCACAAGCGAGGGCGGGAGGCGGCCACAACGGGUCCCCAGCGCCAAGAAAGGGGCACAAGGAGGCGGUGCGGGCCCCGCCCCCUCCCCUGGCGGGCGCGGGCGCGAGACGCUGCGCGGCGGCAGCAGCGGGCGCGAGCGGCAGCUGUCAGGCCACCGAGGUCCAAGCAGCACUUGCUGCCCCAUUGAGGACGAGGCGGCAGCAGAAGCGGUGACGGUGUCGCUGAGGAGCCUGACUCCCGGCACGCAGCCCCGACCUGCCUGGCACCCCGCGGCCCUCUUCUGUCUCCUUCCCAUUGUGUUGAGUAAGAACCUUAAACAGAAAGAAUAAAACGAUAGGAAAAAAGAAAUAUUGUGACAAAAAUCCAACUAGGUUCUCUUGGUUACAAACUCCUCCCCGUCUGGUGCCAUAACAAUGAGUGGGAAAUCCCUGCUCUUAAAG